RNAcentral lists this ribosomal RNA (238 nucleotides) under Costus pulverulentus. RNAcentral's name for it is "partial 26S ribosomal RNA". It matches the Rfam family "Eukaryotic large subunit ribosomal RNA", at positions 1 to 237 of the family's 3401-position model. Lineage: Eukaryota; Viridiplantae; Streptophyta; Magnoliopsida; Zingiberales; Costaceae. The record is from RNAcentral.
GCGACCCCAGGUCAGGCGGGACCACCCGCUGAGUUUAAGCAUAUAAAUAAGCGGAGGAGAAGAAACUUACAAGGAUUCCCCUAGUAACGGCGAGCGAACUGGGAUCUGCCCAGCUUGAGAAUCGGGUGGCAGCGCUGCCCGAAUUGUAGUCUGGAGAAGCGUCCUCAGCGACGGACCGGGCCCAAGUCCCCUGGAAAGGGGCGCCUGGGAGGGUGAGAGCCCCGUCCGGCUCGGACCC